GACAGAGGGUGCAAACGUUGUUCGGAAUUACUGGGCGUAAAGCGCGUGUAGGCGGCUCGAUAAGUCGGAUGUGAAAGCCCUGGGCUCAACCUAGGAAGUGCAUUCGAAACUGCUGAGCUUGAGUUCUGGAGAGGAAGGCGGAAUUCUCGGUGUAGAGGUGAAAUUCGUAGAUACUGGGAGGAACACCGGUGGCGAAGGCGACCAUCUGGACUAUAACUGACACUGAUGUUCGAAAGCGUGGGUAGCAAACAGG
This 253-nucleotide ribosomal RNA is filed under the name uncultured bacterium. RNAcentral's name for it is "partial 16S ribosomal RNA". It matches the Rfam family "Bacterial small subunit ribosomal RNA", at positions 524 to 776 of the family's 1533-position model. The record is from RNAcentral.